AUGAGCAAGUUCCACUCUCUGAUUAUGACAGACAAGAGGCAUGCUAGCAUGGAAAACAUCACUGUCAGGAACCAGCAAUGUCAUGCAAAGAAACCAAACCCUUGUGAUAAAAAGAUUUCUGAACACGUAGUGUGGUGGUUAUGCUGUUAUCAACAGUUGAUCUUGGAAAGAAAGAGAUGGGCCUUCUGUCCUCCGAGUUAUGACAGAAGGUAAUUAUUUGGGUUUUUGGUCUUAUAUCUGAAAGUACUGAGUUUGUGUUUCAGAAACAUAGGUAAAGAUUAAUGAAAUAAAGGAACAAUAGCAAAUGCA
This 309-nucleotide long non-coding RNA is filed under the name Struthio camelus australis. RNAcentral describes it as "lncRNA (ENSSCUG00000014984.1)". Lineage: Eukaryota; Metazoa; Chordata; Aves; Struthioniformes; Struthionidae. The record is from RNAcentral.